Long non-coding RNA from Empidonax traillii (willow flycatcher), 437 nucleotides. RefSeq lists it as uncharacterized. Lineage: Eukaryota; Metazoa; Chordata; Aves; Passeriformes; Tyrannidae. The record is from RefSeq and is a predicted model, not a curated record. The transcript has 6 exons.
GAUUACUCCUCUAUGUCUGUGAAAUGCUGUGAAGGCUUUCCUCCCUAAAACAAGAUUUGACUUGAAGUAUAUCUUCUAGUGGAAAAAUAGGAGGGCACGAACUACCUUUUCAAAUAUACUUCUGUCUGUGUCAUCAGUGCCUUUUUUUGCACUCACAACAUCAUCUCUUUCAUUCUGGACUCCUUUUUGGACACCACAGCUAGGAACCACUGGCUUUGCUUAUCGAACUGCAGAGAAAAAAAGAAUUAGGUGAUACCAGAUAAAACUAAUGGAUGGCAGUUGCAAACAAAAGUCUUCAGAUGAUGGAUAAGUAAUCUGGAAAACAGCCAAAGGGGACUGAAGGCAACAAAUGCUUGUAAGGAUGGAAAAAGUAAUUUGAUUUUUCCUCCAAGGAUUUGUUCAUUGAGGGCUACUAAACACAAGGAUGCAUACUCUGA